GUUGUUCCCAUUCACUCCCUUCGGCCUCCAGUGAGCCCAGCUGAUAGCUGCUGUCAGAUCCGCUCAGAAGAUAGCGAGGAGAUUUACAGAUUCUUCACAGAGUCUAGUGAUGGCGCUGUAGGACAGCAGUUUCGAGGACUGUUGCUUAACCACCACAAGAAGCAUCAUCUUUGAGGAUCUGACUUCUGAUAAUCCUGACCGCUGUGCUCCUGCAUGUAAGGAAGAAAAAGUGAAGCUUUAACAGCAAAUUGAACCAGCCUGAACAACAAAUGAUGCCUUUUAUCGUCUAAAUUACUCUUGUGCUCGACAGGCACACUUUGGACCAGAGUGGCACACAUGAAUGCCUUUAGACGUGGAAUUUGCUUUUAAGGAAAAACUAAAGGGCAAACACUAGUUAUUUUGCAAGAAUAAACCAAAAGGUGUCAAAGAGGAAAAUUUGAAGGUCCAGGCUGGUUCCAGUAGCCACAAGAUUUUUGAAGCCAGAAUUGUUGAUAGUCAUGACCAAGAUGAAGUGGG
Molecule: long non-coding RNA, 516 nt
Organism: Polypterus senegalus (gray bichir)
Lineage: Eukaryota; Metazoa; Chordata; Cladistia; Polypteriformes; Polypteridae
Exons: 4
Source: RefSeq, a predicted model, not a curated record